RNAcentral lists this ribosomal RNA (466 nucleotides) under uncultured bacterium. RNAcentral describes it as "partial 16S ribosomal RNA". It matches the Rfam family "Bacterial small subunit ribosomal RNA", at positions 28 to 507 of the family's 1533-position model. The record is from RNAcentral.
GACGAACGCUGGCGGCGUGCUUAACACAUGCAAGUCGAACGGAAAGGCCUCUUUCGGGGGGUACUAGAGUGGCGAACGGGUGAGUAACACGUGAGUAACCUGCCCUUGACUUUGGGAUAACUUCAGGAAACUGGGGCUAAUACCGGAUAGGAGCUCCUGCUGCAUGGUGGGGGUUGGAAAGUUUCGGCGGUUGGGGAUGGACUCGCGGCUUAUCAGCUUGUUGGUGGGGUAGUGGCUUACCAAGGCUUUGACGGGUAGCCGGCCUGAGAGGGUGACCGGCCACAUUGGGACUGAGAUACGGCCCAGACUCCUACGGGAGGCAGCAGUGGGGAAUAUUGCACAAUGGGUGGAAGCCUGAUGCAGCAACGCCGUGUGCGGGAUGACGGCCUUCGGGUUGUAAACCGCUUUCGCCUGUGACGAAGCGUGAGUGACGGUAAUGGGUAAAGAAGCACCGGCUAACUACGUG